CGACGCAGGUCGGAAGACUGUGCAUUUGCCUAUUGCUUCAUUCCUGGAAGCUGUACUGGAACUGUGAUUAAGAAAUAAACAUCCUGAAAGAAAACAAAAGAACCCCAGAAUUCUUAACAGAACAGUGAGUACUUUAAUAACAUGGUAAUUAUAAUAGAUCUUCUGUAAAAUUAGAUCUUACAAAUGUCUUUUAUUAAAAUAUUUGCCUUUCUGUU
RNAcentral lists this long non-coding RNA (215 nucleotides) under Oryctolagus cuniculus (rabbit). RNAcentral describes it as "lncRNA (ENSOCUG00000034044.1)". The record is from RNAcentral. Lineage: Eukaryota; Metazoa; Chordata; Mammalia; Lagomorpha; Leporidae.